UCAUAAAGCUCUUGACCUCCUUCCCUUACAAACCAAAUUUCAAUAGGAAGUUCCUUCUAUAAAAUUUGUAUCUUUUAGAAUAAGAACCAGCCAUCAAAAACCCAAGGGGAUUGUAUUUGAUCUACACAUUUACAGAGAACUUGGGAAAUUUGAUUUGUGAACAAAAAACAAUAAAGAACUUGCAAAUGAAAUAGAGGGUGGUUUUAAAAUUUAUAAAAAAAGAAAAAAAUACACACACACACACACACAAAAAAAAAAAAUUCUUUCCCUUCUCUUUUCACUGCACAAAUGCAAGAUCCCAAACACAACUUGAAAGUGCCUAUGCAAAUAAAUCUUAACCACACGAGUUAAAUUUUAGAGCAAAGCAAAGCAAAUAAAUCAUAGAAAGUAAAGUAAGGUAAAGCAUGUAUGUAUAUAACCUACAACACGGAUCUACAUACUACAUUUGACCAUCCACUGCUGAGGUUCUUAUAUAUUUAAAUUAAAAAAGAACCUUGCAAAAUACAUGAUUUCUUUAGAAAAUACAAUGUACAUUAAUGUCUAUUUAAGUUUCAGACAACUACUCUGGGCUAAUGAAAGUCUACACUCUUUCUUAUGCUUCCUCGGUAAAAACCCAUGUACAGAAACUGUGACAUCAUCCCGAAUCAAGCUGGCUUCCUGCCCUGUACGAGGUUUCAUCGGAUUAUUGAAGGCUGUCCCAGUCUGCACAGUCUAUGUCCUUCCAAUCCCUGCAAAUAAACGUAGGGUGAACUACUUUAGCAACAGAUGCGUGCUUUAACUCGCUGUAGAGUGAAUGUUUUUCUGCCUGUUUCCAAUCCGAUGUAAAUAUGGUCAUUUCAGCACCAACUGGAAGUGGAAAAACAGUACUUUUUGUGCUUUUCAUUUUGAGACUGGUCUCAAGGUUCAUCUCUGCAGAGGGAAGAUUUAUUCACUUAAAGGGAAUGCUCAAAACAGUAGGCUUUCUACAAUUUUAUAUAUGAAAAAAUUUUAGAUGUUUAUUUAAACACUGAAAAGUUCAGAAGAUUAUUGAUUUCACACCACCAGGACACCUACCAAUGUUCUUUAUUUCAUUUACUUUGUAUUGUUGGUUAGUUUUGGGAAUUAACUCCUUAUAUUAUGGAAGGGAUUUUAUUAUUAUUUGAUUUUAUUUGAUCUAUAUACAUAUAUAUAAAUAUAUUUUUAGGGUCUAUUAUACCUUGUUGUUUGACUGAUGAGGUCUAUUAUAAUUGUUAAAUCCAUUAUUGCUUCAACAGUUGAAAUCUUUUUCUGUAUACUUUCACUUUUAUCAAUGAUUAGAAAAUGGAUGUAUCUUACAAAACAAUUACAGUAGUUUUGGGAAUCUCUUAUGUGUGAGAAGGGAUUUUGAAUAAGGGAGAAGGGAUUUUGAAUUUGUGUGAAAAUGUAUCAGAGAUACAUUUCAAUUCAACAACUGAGAUGUGUUGUUUUUAACCAUUGAGGGUUGAGAUGUGUUGUUUUCAACGGCCCCUUGAUGUGUUGUUUUCAAUUCCUGCCCAAAACAAUCCCCUCUCUCUCCUGUGUUCCACCCACUCCAAACAUUAUUUGCACACUUCUCUCUCUCUCUCACUCUCCAACUUCUCAGGUCUCAAACUCUGUCCUCAGAGAUCUCUCUCUUCCUCUCCCUCCUCUCUAUUGCCGCUCUGCUUCCACCAUCACGUCGUCUCCACCGUCGCGUCGCCUCCGAUCUCCACCGACAGCAACUCUUCAUCUCUUCUCCAUAUUAGAUCUCAACCCACUACGGCACCUCCGUCCUCCAUCACAGAGAAACCGAUAAAGAGUUACGGUAUCGUUUCAUCUAUAAUCAUUUUCCGAGUUUGCACGAGGAGGACAUUAUAGGAAAAACGGAUGUGGAGACUUCAAAACUGAUUAUUCACUGAUUAUUCACUGGUGCUGGUGUAAAGGAAUCUCUAGACUUCAAAACAGAAGUUUUGGAACGAGGAGUACCUGCAAAAAGGGAAAUUACUUUUGAGACAGAACUAUUUGGGUCAAAGACAUUUUUGAUAUAUGUUGAACCUGUAUUCAGCAACGCAGGGGAUACUAUUGGUGUGAAUUACAUGGGUAUGGAUGUAACUGAUCAGGCCAGACCACAACUUGCAAGAUGUAAAAAUCAAUAUCUUCCCUUUCAAAAGAAGAAAGGUGAAGGCACCAGAAGUUACAGCUUCUGUUACAUUACCUGUGAGAAGGAGAGAUCACUCUCAUCAUUGGUGGUCUGCACUCCCAGAGUAUCAACACAGACUACCAUGACAGGAAGAAGGUCAAAAGCUAUUGCAAGAAAGGCAUCUUCUGUACGAAGUUCCAGUUUUCCCACUGAAAAGCCUGUUAAGAAAGAGGAAGAUUCUGUGGAAGAUCAUCCAAAGGGCUUAAGCUCACCCGAGACUUUAACCAAAUUAACUCAGAAUAUAAG
Camellia sinensis is the source of this 2422-nucleotide non-coding RNA. The record is from RefSeq and is a predicted model, not a curated record. Lineage: Eukaryota; Viridiplantae; Streptophyta; Magnoliopsida; Ericales; Theaceae.